Molecule: ribosomal RNA, 488 nt
Filed under: uncultured Sphingobacteriales bacterium
Lineage: Bacteria; Pseudomonadati; Bacteroidota; Sphingobacteriia; Sphingobacteriales
Description: bacterial SSU rRNA
Rfam family: Bacterial small subunit ribosomal RNA
Source: RNAcentral
GCUCAGAAACUCAAAGGAAUUGACGGGGCCCGCACAAGCGGUGGAGCAUGUGGUUUAAUUCGAUGAUACGCGAGGAACCUUACCUGGGCUCAAAUGUAUGUUGACGUAUUCUGAAAGGGAUACUUCUUCGGACAAUAUACAAGGUGCUGCAUGGUUGUCGUCAGCUCGUGCCGUGAGGUGUCGGGUUAAGUCCCAUAACGAGCGCAACCCCUAUCAUUAGUUGCCAUCAGGUCAAGCUGGGGACUCUAAUGAAACUGCCUACGCAAGUAGUGAGGAAGGUGGGGAUGACGUCAAAUCAGCACGGCCCUUACGUCCAGGGCUACACACGUGCUACAAUGGCCGGUACAAAGGGCAGCUACCUGGUGACAGGAUGCAAAUCUCCAAAGUCGGUCUCAGUUCGGAUCGGAGUCUGCAACCCGACUCCGUGAAGUUGGAUUCGCUAGUAAUCGCGCAUCAGCCAUGGCGCGGUGAAUACGUUCCCGGGCCUU